UGGUGUGUGACCGCAGUGUUUCCAUCAUCCGACACUCUUUGCUCUUCUUCCUGGACCUCAUACCCUGUACUAUUAUAGGAUACACACGCGCAGCUCCCGCACUGAACGCGCUGCUCUCCUCUAUUCGCUGGACACACGUGUUCGGCUGCGAAGCCCAGCGUGGCGUCGCGAGCCCGCAGGGAGGAGGAGGGUUGGGGGGGGGGGGGGGCGUGCUCCGGGCGCGAGGCUUCUCUCCGCAAUAUUUUUGUCACAUUUCCAUUUUCAUGCACGAAGCUGCUUUAUUUAUCAGGUGAACCCUUUUCCGGACUGCGCUGAGCACGGCAAAAACCUCAACUCUGCACCGGACACCAGCGUCCACCUUCCACCUGCAUACAGCCCCAGGCGGGGAGAAAACGGAGGGGGGACGAGCGCGGCGGGGGGUUUCUUUCCCUGGUGACAUUGUGAUUGUGGAAAGCGCCGCUCGUCACCGCGGACCUACGUGCCGCCCACCCCGCUCGCCAACUUCAACCUCAACACGCUCUUUUACCACUGCCGCGACUUGAGAAUGGCUGCUGCGAACUGGAAGUGCCAACUGCAGUAAACAGGGAACGAUCGAGAGGAAAGUUCUCCUGCAGGAUUUGCCGGGUUCCGCUCAGUGGCCAUGCGAGCCGGUGGAGUGCGGGCGCUCGCGGCGGUGCUUCUCGGAGCCGCGGUCGCCGUCGGGAGCGCGCACGGAACAUGUCUUUUUCAGGGAUCCCUGUUUGCGGUACGUCGUCUGCAGAUUUAUUAUGUUAUAAUGAUCAUCUUGCAGAUUCUCAGUGUCUGGUGGCUCUUUUGAAGAUGAAUCUGAGGCCGUGUGUCAUAAUUAAUGGGGAGUCAUGGUGCACUUUGGAAUGAUGAUUUCAAUACACUGUCAGAAGUACUAGACAUAGCCAUCGCUUAAUAUUUAUGGCAGUGGAUGUGGAUUGUAAAUACAGGCAGUCCCCGGAUUACGAACGAGUUCCGUUCCUAAGUCUGUAUUUAAGUUGAAUUUGUACGUAAGUCGGAACAGUUAGGUACGUUCAUAUCUAACGUCAGCAUAAAAGACAUUGAAUGAACACUUUCAUAUACACUAAAACAUCUUUAAAAUAAUAAUACAGUAAUAGUAAUAAUAAACAUGACUACAGUAUUUAUAAUAGAGACA
RNAcentral lists this long non-coding RNA (1162 nucleotides) under Scleropages formosus (Asian bonytongue). RNAcentral's name for it is "lncRNA (ENSSFOG00015027433.1)". The record is from RNAcentral. Lineage: Eukaryota; Metazoa; Chordata; Actinopteri; Osteoglossiformes; Osteoglossidae.